AACAUAUCCAGUAAGAUUUCUAACAGUUGUGAGAUCACAUGCAGGAAGACUGUGAUUACUUGUGGUAUUGGUUUGCAGUUUCUGUUGGUAUAGGCAUUCUUUUGGACAAUUUGUAUUGGCUGUCAUGCCUCAAAGUAUUUGAUUUCCUUUAAAAAUGGUUUUUGAUUAGGCGAAUGACCAACAUAUCUUUGGUUAUAUUGAAGUAUUGAUUAGAUCAUUAGCUUUAGAUAUUGAUCUUGGUGAACAGUAUAGGUGACAAAAUUUGAUUAAGUUACAAGAAAUUUGAAGGGAUCUAGUUUUUCCAAGUUAUAUUACCUUUCAACUCGAAAUCCUUUUUGGAAAAGAGUUGCUAUGAUAUCAGAGAACUGCUUGUGUUAGUGAAUACCACUUCUGCAGAUAUUUGGGUCAAAGAAGUGUUCCUUUAUGUUUUCUGAUGUAUUGGAUGGGAAGUAUCAGGGAUAUGGCUCCCUUUGUUUUGUUGGAGUUGAAAGUUUAAGGAUCUUAGGUAGCUUUCACUUCCUUGGGUCUUUUCCUUUCUGUUUUUUAUAUUAUCUGUCCUAUUUGUUGGGAAGUCUUCCUUUUUUUAUCUGUUCAAAAAAGAUCAGUGCCUUCCUCUUUUUAUCUGUUCGAAAAAGAUCAGUACCCUCCUUUACUUGGAAACGAGAUAAUUUUUACUUUCCCUUUGCGAUUGACAUGGCUUGUUGUUAUUAGGAACUAUUUUUGUUGUUUUCAAUCGAACUUUUUAGAAACCUUUUUAGAGGAUUGAAAUGCACAAAAGUGAAAAAAUUUAUCUGAUUUGGUAAUAUUUUUUAUUGACAAGAUUCACAAGAAAAUAAUGUAGAAAUUUUUUGAACUGAAUGCCUUCUUGACUUCUGGGAGCCAAUUGAUUCAUAGGGAUGAGAUAAACCUGAGAAGGAUUUUUUUGCCAGUCUCCACAUUCAUCUUGAACUUGAAGUGCUUAAACAAGGUUAAAUGGUGGUGCUAUAGGCCGUGCCUUUGCCACAGACCUCUAAGAUCUCCAUGUUGUCCCUGUCUCAUUCCUAUGCCUUCCUCUCUGCUAAACUUUUUACUAUAGGAUUUGUUAAUGGGUUUUGACUCCUCUCAUGUAACUGUGCAUCUAAUGAAUGGAUGUUGUGGGUCUGAGAUGGCUUAGCAUGGGUUGAAAGUAGUGGUAGGGUUCCCGUCCGGGUUGCCAUAUGACCGUAAUCUGCUGUCUAUCCUAUGAACUGAUGAAACACCAAAGCAAAAGGAAGUAGAAUCUAGGAAUGAAAUCCAACCUUUGGAAUGAAAACUAGUCCCCUGUUGUUUAAACAUAGUUUUAGAGCAAUAUAAUAUGCACUUCCCUAGUGCUCGAUAAAGUAAGAGUUUCCUUGUAAUGUUUGUUUAUAUUUCUUCAAGUGAACUGCAGUAUGUGCUUCUUAGAGGUAUCGAAUUAUAAGACAAACCAAUCGUUCAAAAUCAAAAUGGAAAGGGUUAUGUUUCUAUAUUUAGCUGCUUGUUGUGUUUGUGUCAUGAAAAGUUGGAAAAUGAAACA
This 1534-nucleotide long non-coding RNA is filed under the name Nicotiana benthamiana. RNAcentral describes it as "long non-coding RNA (NBEN_LNC019402)". Lineage: Eukaryota; Viridiplantae; Streptophyta; Magnoliopsida; Solanales; Solanaceae. The record is from RNAcentral.